AGAGUUUGAUCAUGGCUCAGAUUGAACGCUGGCGGCAGGCCUAACACAUGCAAGUCGAACGGUAACAGGAAGCAGCUUGCUGCUUUGCUGACGAGUGGCGGACGGGUGAGUAAUGUCUGGGAAACUGCCCGAUGGAGGGGGAUAACUACUGGAAACGGUAGCUAAUACCGCAUAAUGUCGCAAGACCAAAGAGGGGGACCUUCGGGCCUCUUGCCAUCGGAUGUGCCCAGAUGGGAUUAGCUAGUUGGUGAGGUAACGGCUCACCAAGGCGACGAUCCCUAGCUGGUCUGAGAGGAUGACCAGCCACACUGGAACUGAGACACGGUCCAGACUCCUACGGGAGGCAGCAGUGGGGAAUAUUGCACAAUGGGCGCAAGCCUGAUGCAGCCAUGCCGCGUGUAUGAAGAAGGCCUUCGGGUUGUAAAGUACUUUCAGCGGGGAGGAAGGGGUUAAGGUUAAUAACCUUAGCCAUUGACGUUACCCGCAGAAGAAGCACCGGCUAACUCCGUGCCAGCAGCCGCGGUAAUAC
RNAcentral lists this ribosomal RNA (529 nucleotides) under uncultured bacterium. RNAcentral describes it as "bacterial SSU rRNA". It matches the Rfam family "Bacterial small subunit ribosomal RNA", at positions 8 to 526 of the family's 1533-position model. The record is from RNAcentral.